Transfer RNA from Rozella allomycis CSF55, 73 nucleotides. It matches the Rfam family "tRNA". Rfam says of the family: Transfer RNA (tRNA) molecules are approximately 80 nucleotides in length. NCBI's taxonomy places the organism in Eukaryota, Fungi, Rozellomycota. The record is from Rfam.
GAACGGCUAGCUCAAUCGGCAGAGCGUGAGACUCUUAAUCUCAAGGUUGCGAGUUCGACCCUCGCGUUGGGUG